Molecule: ribosomal RNA, 292 nt
Filed under: uncultured microorganism
Description: partial 16S ribosomal RNA
Rfam family: Bacterial small subunit ribosomal RNA
Source: RNAcentral
GUGCCAGCAGCCGCGGUAGUACGUAGGGCGCAAGCGUUGUCCGGAUUUAUUGGGCGUAAAGAGCUCGUAGGCGGUUUGUCGCGUCUUCCGUGAAAACUGGGGGCUUAACUUCCAGCUUGCGGUGGAUACGGGCUGACUGGAGUGCGGCAGGGGAGACUGGAAUUCCUGGUGUAGCGGUGAAAUGCGCAGAUAUCAGGAGGAACACCGGUGGCGAAGGCGGGUCUCUGGGCCGUUACUGACGCUGAGGAGCGAAAGCGUGGGGAGCGAACAGGAUUAGAUACCCUGGUAGUCC